RNAcentral lists this ribosomal RNA (253 nucleotides) under uncultured bacterium. Its description in RNAcentral is "partial 16S ribosomal RNA". It matches the Rfam family "Bacterial small subunit ribosomal RNA", at positions 524 to 776 of the family's 1533-position model. The record is from RNAcentral.
UACGAAGGGGGCUAGCGUUGCUCGGAAUCACUGGGCGUAAAGGGUGCGUAGGCGGGUCUUUAAGUCAGGGGUGAAAUCCUGGAGCUCAACUCCAGAACUGCCUUUGAUACUGAAGAUCUUGAGUUCGGGAGAGGUGAGUGGAACUGCGAGUGUAGAGGUGAAAUUCGUAGAUAUUCGCAAGAACACCAGUGGCGAAGGCGGCGACCUGGGCCAAUAUUGACGCUGAGGUGCGAAAGCGUGGGGAGCAAACAGG